Molecule: long non-coding RNA, 1783 nt
Organism: Mustela erminea (ermine)
Lineage: Eukaryota; Metazoa; Chordata; Mammalia; Carnivora; Mustelidae
Exons: 4
Source: RefSeq, a predicted model, not a curated record
UAAAGGCCCCCUAACGGAGAAACCGGUUCUACGGAACCCGAGUGAGGUGGAGCAUCUUUUCAAAUGACACGUGCAUACAGUGAAGUAUGAUGAGUCUUGAGGAAUGUGGCAGAUACACGGCUAUGAAAUGAAGUGGAACAAGCAAGGCCCAAAAGAAGGAUUAUGUCCUAAUGAGUUACUGAAGGAAGAAAUAAGUCCUGGUAUACUGGAAAAAAAAAAAGGGAGCUUUGGUGUCAGACAGACUCUCAUUACAACCUUGGUUAUUAAAUCUCUUUGGGUUUCAGUGUCUUUAUUUGUAAAAAGAAAAAUGCUUAUCUCUAUCUGGGUAGUCGUUAUGGGGAUUAGAGAAGAUGUAGGAAUAAUUGAGUGAAAAAAACAGCAAUCCACACAUAAGGCUGAACAUACAAAUACUGUCUACAAAUACUUAUUGAUCAAAUCUGGAGAUAAGAAGUUGUUCUAAAGGAAUGAAAAAUGGAUAGAAGAGAAAAUCAUCCAGGAUUCCUUAUGGAGCCCAGGAACAGCACAGGGAAAAUACUUGGUCUUCAAAUAUAUGAUUGCCUUUGUCAAUUUUUCUGUUCUUUCUUUUAAGGUCCUCAUGUCUAUGAUUCUACAUCCCAGGCCCUUCAUCUAUGCAAUCCUCCUCCCCUACCCUCAUCCCAAGGGCUGUUUUGCAUCCCAUUUUUCUCUCAACUGUUGAUUCAUUUUCUUGCAGAAGCAUGCACCAAAAAAUUGAGGUGCCAACUCAUAUACCUUUACUGUGUGAAAUCUCCCAGGGAGCAUUUGCAUUUCAAGGGAAAAACAAAGCCUUCAAGUUCUGGAAAAGUGUUAAAAGGUGGGGACAGUAUUAUGUGCCGGAGAGCUCUUCUUAACAUCACUCUAGCUGAAGCACCUGCCUGCAAUGCCAACCCCGCUCUGCAAAGGGCCCUUCCUCAUGCUUAGUGGCUGUGAACAAGGUAGACCUAUCUACAGACACAAGGCUUCUGAGGGUCGGCCACUGGACACGCGGUCAUCACAGCGUGCAUGGGUCCAUCCUCUUCUUUUCAAUCACUGUUUACCCAUCCACCUUUGGUCCUAUGAAGAUACAGUCUUCUCUAAAGCCCAGUUCACCCCAUUUUCUCCUCUCCUAAAGAUUAAAAAUAGCACUCUCUUCAAUGACCUCAAUAAUUUAGAACCCAUGAAUAAGUCAUUUGCCCAAGAGGCUACAGUGGGGUGUCUAUUUUUACUUAUAGUCUUUCACUAAGCAAAGUGACCUCUCUCAAGGAGCCAACGUUGAAGCCCGUUGAUCUUCUGGCUUCUCAGGGGACAGCCCAGGCGGUGCUCACAAUGCAGAGUCUCUUCUCAAGGGCAAAGAUGGACCCAUAGGUGUCACUGACUUCAGAAUGUGCAUAACCAAACAUGAAUUUAGGCAUAUAUGCUUUGCGCAGAACUCCUGAAGCUGCCUGGAGCAUGUCCCAGGAGGAACACUUCCUAUAAAGUAGAGCCAGAAAAUGCUGCCUACCCCAGAGGUCUUCCCUGGGGCCCCUUCUUCCUUAAGACACCAUUUUGUCAACAUUGAACCUUAACAGGAGAGCAAUACAAUAGUACAGGUCCCUAAAUCCUUGGGGCUGCCACAACCUCCCAACCUCAUGCCUCCAUCCACCUUCAAGAUGCAUCCCCUAGCCCCAUCUCAUCUGUGUACUACUUUCAGGAAGGUUAGACAUUUACUCUGUGCCAAUCCAGUGGUCACUGUGAAGACUCCACCUCAGGAUUUUGGCCACCACUUUAUAAAAAUAAAUUGAUUUUU